GAUGAACGCUGGCGGCGUGCUUAACACAUGCAAGUCGAACGAAGCACUUAAGUUUGAUUCUUCGGAUGAAGACUUUUGUGACUGAGCGGCGGACGGGUGAGUAACGCGUGGGUAACCUGCCUCAUACAGGGGGAUAACAGUUAGAAAUGGCUGCUAAUACCGCAUAAGACCACAGUACUGCAUGGUACAGUAGGUAAAAACUCCGGUGGUAUGAGAUGGACCCGCGUCUGAUUAGGUAGUUGGUGAGGUAACGGCCCACCAAGCCGACUAUCAGUAGCCGACCUGAGAGGGUGACCGGCCACAGUUGGGACUGAGACACGGCCCAG
This 326-nucleotide ribosomal RNA is filed under the name uncultured bacterium. RNAcentral describes it as "bacterial SSU rRNA". It matches the Rfam family "Bacterial small subunit ribosomal RNA", at positions 28 to 334 of the family's 1533-position model. The record is from RNAcentral.